This 68-nucleotide transfer RNA is filed under the name Larutia seribuatensis. RNAcentral describes it as "tRNA-Ala". It matches the Rfam family "tRNA". Rfam says of the family: Transfer RNA (tRNA) molecules are approximately 80 nucleotides in length. Their secondary structure includes four short double-helical elements and three loops (D, anti-codon, and T loops). Further hydrogen bonds mediate the characteristic L-shaped molecular structure. tRNAs have two regions of fundamental functional importance: the anti-codon, which is responsible for specific mRNA codon recognition, and the 3' end, to which the tRNAs corresponding amino acid is attached (by aminoacyl-tRNA synthetases). tRNAs cope with the degeneracy of the genetic code in two manners: having more than one tRNA (with a specific anti-codon) for a particular amino acid; and 'wobble' base-pairing, i.e. permitting non-standard base-pairing at the 3rd anti-codon position. Lineage: Eukaryota; Metazoa; Chordata; Lepidosauria; Squamata; Scincidae. The record is from RNAcentral.
GAGGUUUUGGCUUAAUAAGAGCACCUGAUUUGCAGUCAGGAGGUGUAAUUUAGAGUUUUACAAGCCUU